RNAcentral lists this ribosomal RNA (648 nucleotides) under Cladophialophora chaetospira. Its description in RNAcentral is "eukaryotic LSU rRNA". It matches the Rfam family "Eukaryotic large subunit ribosomal RNA", at positions 164 to 831 of the family's 3401-position model. The record is from RNAcentral. Lineage: Eukaryota; Fungi; Ascomycota; Eurotiomycetes; Chaetothyriales; Herpotrichiellaceae.
UUGGGUACCGCCCCGGUCUAAAUUUCUUGGAACAGAAUGUCAAAGAGGGUGAGAAUCCCGUCUUGGACCGGCGGUAGGGCCUGUGUAAAACUCCUUCGACGAGUCGAGUUGUUUGGGAAUGCAGCUCAAAAUGGGUGGUAAAUUUCAUCUAAAGCUAAAUAUUGGCCAGAGACCGAUAGCGCACAAGUAGAGUGAUCGAAAGAUGAAAAGCACUUUGAAAAGAGAGUUAAACAGUAUGUGAAAUUGUUGAAAGGGAAGCGCUUGCAACCAGACUUGAGCGCGGCGGUUCCCCCGGUCUUUUGGCCGGGCUACUCCGUCGUGUCCAGGCCAACAUCGGUUCUGAGGGUCGGUCAAAGGCCUUGGGAAUGUAUCUACCUACGGGUAGACUUAUAGACCAGGGUGUCAUGCGGCCUCUCGGGACCGAGGAACGCGCUUCGGCUCGGAUGUUGGCGUAAUGGUUGUCAGCGACCCGUCUUGAAACACGGACCAAGGAGUCUAACAUCUAUGCGAGUGUUUGGGUGUCAAACCCGGAACGCGAAAUGAAAGUGAACGGAGGUAGGAAGCUUCGGCUGCACUAUCGACCGAUCCUGAAGUUUACGGAUGGAUUUGAGUAAGAGCAUAGCUGUUGGGACCCGAAAGAUGGUGAAC